Molecule: ribosomal RNA, 465 nt
Filed under: Vreelandella stevensii
Lineage: Bacteria; Pseudomonadati; Pseudomonadota; Gammaproteobacteria; Oceanospirillales; Halomonadaceae
Description: partial 16S ribosomal RNA
Rfam family: Bacterial small subunit ribosomal RNA
Source: RNAcentral
CCUACGGGAGGCAGCAGUGGGGAAUAUUGGACAAUGGGGGGAACCCUGAUCCAGCCAUGCCGCGUGUGUGAAGAAGGCCCUCGGGUUGUAAAGCACUUUCAGUGAGGAAGAACGCCUGGUGGUUAAUACCCAUCAGGAAAGACAUCACUCACAGAAGAAGCACCGGCUAACUCCGUGCCAGCAGCCGCGGUAAUACGGAGGGUGCGAGCGUUAAUCGGAAUUACCGGGCGUAAAGCGCGCGUAGGUGGCUUGAUAAGCCGGUUGUGAAAGCCCCGGGCUCAACCUGGGAACGGCAUCCGGAACUGUCAAGCUAGAGUGAAGGAGAGGAAGGUAGAAUUCCCGGUGUAGAGGUGAAAUGCGUAGAGAUCGGGAGGAAUACCAGUGGCGAAGGCGGCCUUCUGGACUGACACUGACACUGAGGUGCGAAAGCGUGGGUAGCAAACAGGACUAGAUACCCGAGUAGUC